AUACCUUUCUCGGCCUUUUGGCUAAGAUCAAGUGUAGUAUCUGUUCUUAUCAGUUUAAUAUCUGAUAUAGCUUGCUAUUGGGGCCUUUGAGUGUCGCCUUGGCGUUGCACCCAGA
This 115-nucleotide small nuclear RNA is filed under the name Helianthus annuus (common sunflower). RNAcentral describes it as "sRNA HanXRQr2_Chr03g0119211". It matches the Rfam family "U2 spliceosomal RNA". Rfam says of the family: U2 is a small nuclear RNA (snRNA) component of the spliceosome (involved in pre-mRNA splicing). Complementary binding between U2 snRNA (in an area lying towards the 5' end but 3' to hairpin I) and the branchpoint sequence (BPS) of the intron results the bulging out of an unpaired adenosine, on the BPS, which initiates a nucleophilic attack at the intronic 5' splice site, thus starting the first of two transesterification reactions that mediate splicing. Lineage: Eukaryota; Viridiplantae; Streptophyta; Magnoliopsida; Asterales; Asteraceae. The record is from Rfam by way of RNAcentral.